UGGGGAAUAUUGGACAAUGGGGGCAACCCUGAUCCAGCAAUGCCGCGUGUGUGAAGAAGGCCUUAGGGUUGUAAAGCACUUUCAGUGGGGAGAAAGUUUUAAGUGUUAAUACCAUUUAAAAUUGAUGUUACCCACAGAAGAAGCACCGGCUAACUCUGUGCCAGCAGCCGCGGUAAUACAGAGGGUGCAAGCGUUAAUCGGAAUUACUGGGCGUAAAGGGUGUGUAGGUGGUUGUAUAAGUUAGAUGUGAAAUCCCCGGGCUCAACCUGGGAAUUGCGUUUAAAACUGUAUAGCUAGAGUAUUGUAGAGGAUAGUGGAAUUUCCAGUGUAGCGGUGAAAUGCGUAGAUAUUGGAAGGAACACCAGUGGCGAAGGCGACUAUCUGGGCAAAUACUGACACUGAGACACGAGAGCAUGGGGAGCAAACAGGAUUAGAUACCCCGGUAGUCC
Molecule: ribosomal RNA, 449 nt
Filed under: uncultured bacterium
Lineage: Bacteria
Description: bacterial SSU rRNA
Rfam family: Bacterial small subunit ribosomal RNA
Source: RNAcentral